GACGAACGCUGGCGGCGUGCUUAACACAUGCAAGUCGAACGGUAAGGCCCCAGCUUGCUGGGGUACACGAGUGGCGAACGGGUGAGUAACACGUGGGUGACCUGCCCCGCACUUCGGGAUAAGCCUGGGAAACUGGGUCUAAUACCGGAUACGACCGCACCGAGAGGGUGUGGUGGUAAGUGUUUCGGUGUGGGAUGGGCCCGCGGCCUAUCAGCUUGUUGGUGGGGUAAUGGCCUACCAAGGCGGCGACGGGUAGCCGGCCUGAGAGGGUGGACGGCCACAUUGGGACUGAGACACGGCCCAGACUCCUACGGGAGGCAGCAGUGGGGAAUAUUGCACAAUGGGCGGAAGCCUGAUGCAGCGACGCCGCGUGGGGGAUGACGGCCUUCGGGUUGUAAACUCCUUUCACCAUCGACGAAGGUUUUCUGACGGUAGAUGGAGAAGAAGCACCGGCUAACUACGUG
This 464-nucleotide ribosomal RNA is filed under the name uncultured bacterium. RNAcentral describes it as "partial 16S ribosomal RNA". It matches the Rfam family "Bacterial small subunit ribosomal RNA", at positions 28 to 507 of the family's 1533-position model. The record is from RNAcentral.